RNAcentral lists this long non-coding RNA (275 nucleotides) under Phoenix dactylifera (date palm). Its description in RNAcentral is "long non-coding RNA (PDAC_LNC000887)". The record is from RNAcentral. Lineage: Eukaryota; Viridiplantae; Streptophyta; Magnoliopsida; Arecales; Arecaceae.
GGUUAGGUUCUUUUUCCCAAUUUGCAAAAAGAAGAUAGGUAAUGUGCAUUCAAAUUUAUCAAGAUCAUGAAUUAUAUUAGGUGCAAGAUUUGUAUUCAAACUACUGGUAUCCAAUUGAUGCCCUAUAUUGUUAUGCCAAUUUUUGCAUGUUUGUUUUGCAAAGCAAAGAAUAUAUUAUGAUUCAAUCAUUUGCUUGUUCACUGUAUCUAUACUCAUGAGUAGCAUUCUUACACCAAUCUAUCAUAGACUUAUAGCAGCAAAAUAAACAAAAUUUG